AUCAGGUGUCGAUGACUUAAUAAGGAAGUCCGGUGAAAUGCCGGUGCGGUCCCGCCACUGUAUCAGCGAGCGAAUCUGCCCUGUGCCCUGCGGGCGCGGAGAAAUGUCACUGGGGGAAACCCUGGGAAGGCGCAGAGGAGCGAUGACCUGGAGCCAGGAGAAUUGCCUGAUU
RNAcentral lists this non-coding RNA (172 nucleotides) under bovine gut metagenome. The record is from RNAcentral.